Molecule: ribosomal RNA, 301 nt
Filed under: uncultured bacterium
Lineage: Bacteria
Description: partial 16S ribosomal RNA
Rfam family: Bacterial small subunit ribosomal RNA
Source: RNAcentral
CAGUAGCCGCGGUAAUACGUAGGGUGCAAGCGUUAAUCGGAAUUACUGGGCGUAAAGCGUACGUAGGCGGCUUGGUAAGUUAGAGGUGAAAGCCCGGAGCUCAACUCCGGAAUUGCCUUUAAGACUGCCGAGCUAGCAGGUGAGAGAGGUAAGUGGAAUUCCGAGUGUAGAGGUGAAAUUCGUAGAUAUUCGGAAGAACACCAGUGGCGAAGGCGGCUUACUGGCUCAUACUGGACGCUGAGGUGCGAAAGCGUGGGGAACAAACAGGAUUAGAUACCCGCGUAGUCCCUGUCUCUUAUAC